AUUGAACGCUGGCGGCAGGCCUAACACAUGCAAGUCGAGCGGAGGAAGGGAGCUUGCUCCUGGAUUCAGCGGCGGACGGGUGAGUAAUGCCUAGGAAUCUGCCUGGUAGUGGGGGAUAACGUCCGGAAACGGGCGCUAAUACCGCAUACGUCCUGAGGGAGAAAGUGGGGGAUCUUCGGACCUCACGCUAUCAGAUGAGCCUAGGUCGGAUUAGCUAGUUGGUGGGGUAAAGGCCUACCAAGGCGACGAUCCGUAACUGGUCUGAGAGGAUGAUCAGUCACACUGGAACUGGGACACGGUCCCGACUCCUACGGGAGGCAGCAGUGGGGAAUAUUAGACAAUGGGCGAAAGCCUGAUCCAGCCAUGCCGCGUGUGUGAAGAAGGUCUUCGGAUUGUAAAGCACUUUAAGUUGGGAGGAAGGGCAGUAAGUUAAUACCUUGCUGUUUUGACGUUACCAACAGAAUAAGCACCGGCUAACUUCGUG
Molecule: ribosomal RNA, 484 nt
Filed under: uncultured bacterium
Lineage: Bacteria
Description: partial 16S ribosomal RNA
Rfam family: Bacterial small subunit ribosomal RNA
Source: RNAcentral